Molecule: long non-coding RNA, 2879 nt
Organism: Pyrgilauda ruficollis (rufous-necked snowfinch)
Lineage: Eukaryota; Metazoa; Chordata; Aves; Passeriformes; Passeridae
Exons: 5
Source: RefSeq, a predicted model, not a curated record
UCUCCGCACCACCCGCCCCUUCCUGCGCCCGCCUUCCCCCGCAACCGGGACGCGACGGGACGGGACGGGGAGAAAUAGCCGAGUCACGGCCUGGAGCCCGUGAGGGCAGGGCAGGGGAACUAUCGCCCGUCUCGGGCAGGGUACCUCGCGCUCCGCCAGGGACGGUCUCCAAUGCCUUCCUCCUUUCAGGUGGGGUCUUCUUCCCCCUCUCAGCUCCUGUUGUCAUAGAUAGCGGGCUCGGGGGUGGAGGUCGAGGCUUUUCACACCAGGAGUGGCUCCUGGGGAGCGCUCUGUGUUUUGGGAGCUUGCUGUGGGCCCCCGCCCGCCAUUUUCUCUCCCUCAGGAACCUCUGUUGGUGGACCCUGCGGUUGACUCAUACCAUCACAACUUAUUGCCUCAAGCCGGUUACUUUUCUGACUUCGGCGAAAAAUAACGCAAAUUAAGUUCCCUCCUACGUGGCCGUGCAGGGCAAAGCUUUCGGGGUUUUGCCCGCCAGUCCCAAGUGAAGGCGUAGAGAUGAAUUCGGUACUGGAGAAGGUCCCCCGUAGCUUUGUGUGCUGCAGGACACAAAUCAUCCUUAGCUUUAACCAACACCACAGCAUACUUGGAAUGCAAAGGUCUAUGUAAAUAUACCCUCUGACUGCAGCUGCUGUGGGAAAAAGAAGAAAUUAUAAGGAAGCAGGUGAAAGAAGCAACAUCUACAAAAGAAGAAAAAGGAAAAUCACUGAAAGAAAUGCCUAAGUUGAGUGAAAGGAAACAAGGGGAGAUCAUGUCAAGCUUUGACAAGAUGAAGAUCAUUCUGGAGCUUUGAAUGACUACCCAUUACAUACAUUUCUCAAUAUUAAAUAUAUGCUGGAAAAACAAAAAUUUAAAUGUAAAUUUGGACCCUUCAGAAGCAUCCUACUACUAUUUUAUUAGUUUUGUCCUACAGACUUGCUGAACAGACACAUCUCAGUACAGCAGAGAGCAGCCCAGAUACUGUGCACAGGAAACUGCUGGGGAUGAGCGUCACUGGCUCACAGGAUUUCACUGCACCCUGCUCUCAUCAGCAGCAAAUCAUAAAAUCAGACACUUGCUCAAUAAAACUCUAAGUCCUCAAAACAUUGCUUGUCAAGUUGGAUCUCUAACCCAGACUAAUUUUCUUCAGUGUGAAAGUCACCAGAGCUAAACUGGUAUUAAACAGAUUCCUCCAAAAUAUCCAAAGCAGUUUCUUUCUGUUGACUUUUAAUAACAAUUUCUCUGUACCUAUUUCUACUUGUUCAGUCACAAUAGCUCAGUCUAGGCAAACUGAACUGAUAUGAAACACAAACAUAUAAAUGCUUUCAAGGAAUGUUUUAAUUUUGCAAAGCCACUACACUUGAUUGACAGAUAACAGUAAAAAAUGAAAAGAUACUACUUCUAAACUUUUUGCAAAUGACUUUUGAAACAUCUAUUCCAUGCCAUCUAGUGGCCAGUACCAGGCAGUACUAUUGUACGAGUCAAAAUUUCUAGAAAUAGCUUUCCAUGCUAAAAUUAAGAGUCACUCCAGUACUCCUAUUUAAAGGCAGCAGGUAAAAGAGAGAGACAAUUAAAAAGGAGGUUUCAGCUUAAGAGCACAUUAAAAUAUGAAUGUUUCAAAGUAAAACUAUAAAAUAAACAAGACCUUUCAUUGUUAGCCUUUAAUUUUGUGGGGCUUGUUAUCAAAUCUAACAUUAUCCUAAUUUUGUGAUAUACAUUCUGCAAUCUCGUCGUAAAGCUCAAGAAAGUUCCUCUUAGCUAUUGCUUUAAACAGUGUCAAGCUUCAAAAAAGGGAAGGGGGUGGAAAAGGCAAAAAGAAGUGGAGCAAGCAUUCAAAUGCUUUGAAACUUUUCAGCAUUCACAAGAACAGCAAUUCUAGGACAACCUCAGCUACUCACAGGACUCAAGAUGAAAUCCCUUGAGUGAGGGACGAUUUACCUUCACUUUAAAAAAAAACAAAACAGCAUCCUCCAAAGAAAUCCCUCUCUAGAUUCCAAUCAGAGUAAUUUCCUCCCGCCAUGUAACUACCUUUUGAAAGUUACAUCAAGGAUUUUCUCUGAGUUCUUUGUCUCACGGCUGUUCUUUAGCUACAGCCCAUGGCUACUAACAGUAUGUUUGGUUAGGUAGAAAUCACAACCUAAACCAGUCUCUAUGAGAGCUACCAAACUAUAAAGACAAUUAGCAAACUGCUACUGAUCUCUGCAUCAUAAAAACAGUGGGCAGUGCUUGGCAGGACUCAAGAGCUACAGCAGGGGAAGAAUGAAGAGAAGCAGCAUUGAAAAAGCUGAUCCACAACAGCAUGAUUAUAAAAAGAACAAAACAGAAGUGCAGAUACAGAGUGGCCAGGAUGGCUACUUGCAUUAUUUUCCACAUUUCUAUACUUUUACCUAGAAGUGUGAAAAGAUUUUUUCAUAUCCUGAAAUUUACAUUCAAAAUUUGCAUUUGUGGUGGGAAAUAAGAAAAAACCCAACCAAAAAAAAAGCCCCCCAAACCUCCCAAGAACUAGACCAUAUAACAGUCUUCACAGAAAUCCUAAUAAUUUGCCCUUUGAUGUCAAUGUUUUGUAAUAAAUACCCAUAUUAAAUGCUCCUGCUUUCACUCUGGUCACUUUCUCUUGCUUUUCUUUCUUGCAAAAGAUGCAGCAGUCUGUUAACUCUAAGAAAAAUAUCAGUACUACUUUAUAUUUAAUAAAACACAAUGGACUACAUCAGCUACACCAAUUUCCCAGUGAUUUCUAAUUUAAAUUCACCUUUCUGAUUUGAAUACUUAAAACUUGCAUGCCAAAACGGUCUGCAAACCCUUGAAGGAAAGCGCUAUCCUACAUAAUACUGCCCCAGCUUCAGAGCAUUUGAGAAAAAUAAGAAACAAAAACAGGACCAAAA